RNAcentral lists this ribosomal RNA (834 nucleotides) under uncultured soil bacterium. RNAcentral describes it as "bacterial SSU rRNA". It matches the Rfam family "Bacterial small subunit ribosomal RNA", at positions 66 to 879 of the family's 1533-position model. The record is from RNAcentral.
ACGGGAAAGUCGCAAGAUGAGUACAGUGGCGUAAGGGUGAGUAAUAGAUAGCUGACCUACCCACAGGACGCGGAUAAUUCUCCGAAAGGAGUUGUAAUACGCGAUGAGACCACGGUCCUUACGGGGAUUGUGUUCAAAGGCUGGGGAUCCUUCGGGACCUAGCGGCCUGUGGCGGGGGCGAUCUCUGAUUAGCUAGUUGGCGGGGUAACGGCCCACCAAGGCGAUGAUCAGUAGCCGGGCUGAGAGGCUGUCCGGCCACACGGGCACUGAGACACUGGCCCGACUCCUACGGGAGGCUGCAGUCGCGAAUUUUUCUCAAUGGGCGCAAGCCUGAAGAAGCCAUGCCGCGUGCGGGACGAAGGCCCUCUGGGUUGUAAACCGCUGUCAGGGAAGGGGAAACGUGCGGUGUUAACAGCAUCGUAUUUGACUGCUUUCCAAAGGAAGCCCCGGCAAAACAUGUGCCAGCAGCCGCGGUAAUACAUGUGGGGCAAGCGUUGUUCGGAAUCACUGGGCAUAAAGGGUGCGUAGGCGGUGGUGCACGUCCUGGGUGAAAUCCUUCGGCCCAACCGGAGGUCUGCCUGGGAUACGGCAUUACUUGAGUGCGUGAGGGGUGACUGGAACGCGUGGUGUAGCGGUGAAAUGCGUAGAUAUCACGCGGAAGGCCAACGGCGAAGGCAAGUCACUGGUACGCAACUGACGCUGAGUGCACGAAAGCGUGGGGAGCAAACAGGAUUAGAUACCCUGGUACUCCACGCCGUAAACGAUGGGCACUAGAUCGUCGGGGCGCUAUGCCCUGACGGUCGCAGGCAAUUCGCUAAGUGCCCCGCCUGGGGA